This is a non-coding RNA of Armillaria borealis, 90 nucleotides long. Lineage: Eukaryota; Fungi; Basidiomycota; Agaricomycetes; Agaricales; Physalacriaceae. The record is from the annotation of a GenBank genome assembly.
GCCUUUGUGGCGUAGUGGUAGCGCGUCGCACUUGUACCAUCUUUAUGCGUCUUCAUGCGAAGGUCACUAGUUCAAUCCUGGUCGGAGGCA